AAUUAUUAUUAGAUUUUUAAAUAAUUAUUCACGAAAUAAAUUGAGCUAAAUUUUUGGUAUUUUUGGAAAUUAUAACUAUAUGUUACAAAAUAUAUUAACUAAAUAGAUUUAGGGGUGAAAGGCCUAUCAAAUUUUAUGAUAUCUUGAAGUAUAUAAAAUAUAUCAAGUAUUUCUAAUUCAACUAUUGAAUGUUUAGGUUCAAUAGUAACAUUAUAUUUUUUAAAAAAUUGUUCAAUUUUUUUAAGUAAAAUUGAGUUAGAGCAUAAAAUAUACAUCAAAUUUUUAUUAUAUGAAUAUAAAUAUACUACGGUUAUUAAUAAAUAUAAUCAUAUAUAAUGUAAUUAUUAGUAAUAGUUUAUUAAACUAUAUAAAGGAAUUCGGCAAGAAAAUUUUUCACCUGUUUAUCAAAAACAUAGCUUAUUGAAUAUCAUAAUAAGUAACCCCUGCUCAAUGGAAAUCUAAAUAGCCGCAGUACCUUGACUGUGCAAAGGUAGCAUAAUCAAUUGGCUUAUAAUUGAAGUCUGGAAUGAAUGGGUAAUCUGGAAAAUAACUGUCUUUAUUUGUAGUAUUUUGAAUUUACUUAUAAAGUGAAAAUACUUUAAUAUAAAUAUAAGACGAGAAGACCCUAGAAAUUUUUUGUUAAUAACUUUUGUUGGGGCGACAGGGUAACAUAUAAACUUACUUACAUUUAUAUAAAUCUUAUAAGGUACGUAACUAAAUUACUCUAGGGAUAACAGCAUAAUAUAUAAAAGUUUAUGACCUCGAUGUUGGACUAGGUAAUUAAAUAUUUAAAAGAUAUCUUAAUUUGCUCUGUUCGAGCAGUAUUCACCUACAU
Molecule: ribosomal RNA, 835 nt
Filed under: Perforatella incarnata
Lineage: Eukaryota; Metazoa; Mollusca; Gastropoda; Stylommatophora; Hygromiidae
Description: Monachoides incarnatus partial large subunit ribosomal RNA
Source: RNAcentral